UUUUUUUUUUUUUUUUUUUUUUUUGGCUUUUUUGGCCUAAAGAGGAUCACAGAUGAAGAAAAAAAAAGAAACGCACACACAACACCAAGUAUUUUAAGCAUUUCGUAGUCUUUGUGUGAAGGAAAAAAAAAACAA
This 135-nucleotide non-coding RNA is filed under the name Platyophrya macrostoma. The record is from RNAcentral. Lineage: Eukaryota; Ciliophora; Colpodea; Cyrtolophosidida; Platyophryidae.